Molecule: ribosomal RNA, 253 nt
Filed under: uncultured bacterium
Lineage: Bacteria
Description: partial 16S ribosomal RNA
Rfam family: Bacterial small subunit ribosomal RNA
Source: RNAcentral
UACGAAGGGGGCUAGCGUUGUUCGGAAUUACUGGGCGUAAAGCGCACGUAGGCGGAUAUUUAAGUCAGGGGUUAAAUCCCGCAGCUCAACUGCGGAACUGCCUUUGAUACUGGGUAUCUUGAGUAUGGAAGAGGUAAGUGGAAUUCCGAGUGUAGAGGUGAAAUUCGUCGAUAUUCGGUGGAACACCAGUGGCGAAGGCGGCUGUCUGGUCCAUUACUGACGCUGAGGUGCGAAAGCGUGGGGAGCAAACAGC